CGCCAGGACAGGUUUGGGAACCACUGUGCUAGAGAAUCAAAUUGCCGAGCCUAGUAUUAGUCCCUGGAGUUCACCAUGUUGGUGGUGCGCAACACUAAUCAGCAUCUUAUGCGUUGGAGUUUGACGUUACAACCAUAUGACCUCGAUAUCAAACACGUUCGAGGGGGCGAGUGUGUUCUGUCUUUGUUUUAUUAGGAACUGAUUGCCGGCACCUGUGGAUGCUGUAUGUUUGGCAUAAGAAGUCCAAGCAGCCAAAUCUGUGCGGUGGGCGAGAUGUUCGGCUAUUGUUGUGUCCUAGCCCCCUUAAUUUUCCUA
This is a long non-coding RNA of Carassius auratus (goldfish), 315 nucleotides long. RefSeq lists it as uncharacterized. Lineage: Eukaryota; Metazoa; Chordata; Actinopteri; Cypriniformes; Cyprinidae. The transcript is spliced from 3 exons. The record is from RefSeq and is a predicted model, not a curated record.